Molecule: long non-coding RNA, 816 nt
Organism: Venturia canescens
Lineage: Eukaryota; Metazoa; Arthropoda; Insecta; Hymenoptera; Ichneumonidae
Exons: 2
Source: RefSeq, a predicted model, not a curated record
GAGCCGAGAUGGACUUGGCACAAACGUCUCGCGAUGCUGGCUUCUGUUUGUCACCGAAAUCGACGCCCAUGGAUCCCGCGUCGUUGGACUCGAUGAAACCUGCUCACGUACGGGGCAAACGACAAUGGAAAAUGUGAAAGACAGAAAUCAAACAAUUUUCCACCGACUCAGUCGUCGUUGGAACCUCAACCGUUUGCUGGACUACAGAUGAAAUCCUUCACAAAAUUUCCAAUUUGCUAUUGCUGUUUAUGGCCGGGAUUCGAACCUGGACCCGCAGGAUGGGAACUGAGCCCUCAUCAACCAGACAAACUGCUCUCCUUUAGGGGCAGCAGUCAUUUUAUUUCGCAUAUACCCUCGUGGGCUGUUACUCAACCCCCUCGCCCCCGCCAACCGCACUUCCUUUUUUUACUUUUCUUCUUAUACGGCUUUUCCUUUCUUAUCCCAUAUUUCGUGCCCUCUGUUUACAAUUUUUUUCAUCAUACGCUCUCACGUGUUUGCACAACUCUUUCGGUUGGGUAUCUUUCUCCUAAUGUUUUAUUAAUAUUAAAUUCGAGCUCUUUCCUCGCAUUGUAUCCAUCCACUUUUCGAGAUCACCGACCACCCCGUGCAGUAAAUUCAUCCCCCUCCCGGCCGGGAUGGAUUCACAUUUGUGCAUUAAAUUUUUCUCUCCACUCACACAUUUUGGAUCUGCUUUCUUCAAGCCCUUGCCGCUAUUAUUCUCUGCUUACAUUUCCGAAUUGAAUCCACGAAAAAUCGACUUCGACGCGAAAAGCGUUGGCUGUCGUCGGAGUAUAAAAAUGUAUUGUUUUUCUCGAA